UUGGCGGACGGGUGAGUAACGCGUGGGUAACCUGCCUCACACUGGGGGAGUAACAGUUAGAAAUAGCUGCUAAUACCGCAUAAGCGCACAGUUCCGCAUGGAACGGUGUGAAAAACUCCGGUGGUGUGAGAUGGACCCGCGUCUGAUUAGCCAGUUGGCGGGGUAACGGCCCACCAAAGCGACGAUCAGUAGCCGGCCUGAGAGGGUGAACGGCCACAUUGGGACUGAGACACGGCCCAA
This 240-nucleotide ribosomal RNA is filed under the name uncultured bacterium. RNAcentral describes it as "partial 16S ribosomal RNA". It matches the Rfam family "Bacterial small subunit ribosomal RNA", at positions 95 to 334 of the family's 1533-position model. The record is from RNAcentral.